This 61-nucleotide transfer RNA is filed under the name Pseudoniphargus pedrerae. Its description in RNAcentral is "tRNA-Met". The record is from RNAcentral. Lineage: Eukaryota; Metazoa; Arthropoda; Malacostraca; Amphipoda; Allocrangonyctidae.
UAAAAGAUAAGCUAAAAAAGCUAAUGGGCUCAUAACCCGUCUAUGAAUUUCUCUCUUUUAU